UUAGGCAGAGUUCUUAGAAUGUAUUUUUGUUCACCUGAAAAAUAAAACUUUUAAAAAAUAUACAGGACUUUUAAAGUACAGGUAUAUCUUGAAUGGCUGAAUUAUAAAUAAUGUCUCUGGUCAUGUUCACAGCUAGGGCUGGAGAAAAUGUCCCAAUUCCAGUGAAGGCUUAUAGAGUCAGGAGGCCAGCUGGACCACAAGUGGUCUUGCUGAACUCUUUGAUCCAAAGUGGAUUUAAACAGUCCAUAAAGCAGGGUCAGGAGGGGAAGAGGAAUGGACUCCCAGACACUCUCCCACGAGUCCAGAGGAUUCUUGGAAUAAGAGAUCAAUUUACAAAUUAUUAAAAUAUAGGACUAAAAAUUCACACCAUGAAUAUAAAUGACAGGCUAUUAUUGAAGAUACAAAGUGGCAUUUUAUGUUUCUUCCCCCCAGUCUCUCAUCAAAAAUUUAAAAAGUCCCCAUGGGCUUCCUAAUGACUUAAGUCCUCAUCAGCUGUGAAGAAAUCUCCAAGCCCAGACACCUUGGGGUGUUGGCAGCCUGCUGGGAGGCUGCCAGCUUAGUUGCUAUUUUCUUGCCCAGGACAGGACAUGGCUUAAAUCAAGACUGUUGUCCUGUAAACCUGAAUCAGAGCUAACUACAAGGUAGGCCAGAAAAGUGGAUAGACAGUUUCAGGACUAAGGUGGGCAAGGUUCCUGUUUUGUUUCUUUUUUAAAUAGCUUAUUUCCCAAAAAGGAAACACUAGGGGGUUUGAUCUCUGUCACUACCCACACUCUAUUGCCUAAAAGCAAGUGGCAGGAGGGAAUGGAAUCUAAACAAAGAAUAAUUCCUGCUGCCCUGGAGCUGUGUGUUUCUGUGUGUGUGUGUGUCACCACCUCUAGAAAAUUGUUGGCUGCAUUUAAGUGGAAGCUUAUAAGGAAUGAGAAAGACAAGCUGCCAAUUCAACCUUCCCAUAGCCGGUCUCUUUACUCGCUAUCUAAGCACACUCCUGAGCCUGAAGUCUACCUUCUGCUCUUUCUUACCCAAUAAAGCAACUCAGAACCACAUCAAAGCUCUGGUUUUGCAACUGAUUUGUUCCUAACAGCAAGCUGCUGUGUUGGGCUCAGAAAAUAGGAAAUGCAAAAAUGAGUAAGACAAGAUCUAGAAGAGCAAGAAAUUAAAUAAGACAAGAUCUGGAACCGAUAAGAUAGUUGAGGAGUCGGGAAAGGAAUGGGAGAAAACACUUGCCAAUCAGUAUACUUAAAAAGGCUUGCUCUUCCUAAAGGAGUUCUGUGAGGGGAAGGGACCAAUCUAAACACAGCAGCCUUACUCUUUCUCUCCAUUGCCCCUGGCACGGAUCCAGAGAUUCAAGCUACAACAGGAAGCCACUUUGGUGGGAGCACUAGGAUGGGAACCGGAGGGGGAUCAGCACAGUCCCCACUCUCCCUAAACAGUUUCUAUUGCUAAGGUUUUUCCACUGUCAUGGUAGCAGUCUAAGAAUGAUUAUACUCUUGUGUAAGAACGUCAGAAACUUAUCUUUCUG
RNAcentral lists this long non-coding RNA (1519 nucleotides) under Rattus norvegicus (Norway rat). RNAcentral describes it as "long non-coding RNA NONRATT019594". The record is from RNAcentral. Lineage: Eukaryota; Metazoa; Chordata; Mammalia; Rodentia; Muridae.